Molecule: long non-coding RNA, 1605 nt
Organism: Homo sapiens (human)
Lineage: Eukaryota; Metazoa; Chordata; Mammalia; Primates; Hominidae
Product: long intergenic non-protein coding RNA 1777
Source: Ensembl
AACCAGCGCAAUGUACUUAGGAGGUCAUGCGCCGGUUAAACUCUGCCAUUAUGCCUCUUACUGGGCAUGCUUGAGCCCACGGGCCCAACUCCUGAGAUCCCAUUCGGAAGCUGCUGAUCACCAGUUUCAAGUGUUUCUGUUUAUUGGGAGACUGCCUUCCUCUGGCACUGGCAGUGACCAAUUAUUAUUUUAGAGAGACUGUUAACGGCCUGACCAUCACCUGAUGAAUAUCAGGAAUGUGGCCUGACAUUCCUGGUGUGUGUGGUGUGGGGUACGAGGGGAGCUCUCUCCUACGCUGCUCAUGUCUGACUAGUUGGAUUCUGCAGAGUGGAAGUGGGAAACUCCUUCUGACCCUGGCCACCUGUCUCCAUGUGAAGGCAGAUCCAUUUGAGUGACAGUCCGAGGCAAUACCUCAACUGCCUCUCACUUCCCAAGACAAAUAAACCCACUUGACCUUGAUGUGCUUUUUGUGAAUACAUUGUGAGAUUGGACUUUCGGAUAUUUUAUUUAGAAUUUCUGCGUCUAUAUUCUUUGGGAGGUACACGGAGCGCCUUCUUUUCGUUUAGAGCAUUGGUGUCUCCACAUUAGAAGCAUCCUAUGUAGCUGUUCUGCUUGCAGCUGCCCAAGUCUGCCUGGGCCUCCUGCAUGAGGUCAUGAGUCUUAAUAAAGCCACUGACCCACACAUUUGGAAUCGUACUGACUUUUCACAACUAACAGCCAACACAUUGCCAAGAAGCAAUUCAAUUGUUGAGGAUAUCACAUCAUGCCAGGGAAAGAGAGAUGGAAUUCAGAAAGCCUGGGAUAUUGCAGGUUUAUCCUGACAGUAACCUCUCCCCAGGUCGGAAGACCUCUCAGGCUCUGUUUCUAGGGAGGCUGACCUGCUGACAAUGCUCCUAGCUGGAUUUUGUAAGCGGUCUUGAAUAAAGUCUUCCUCACUGUUUUAACAAGAGACAAGGUAAUGUUCAUUGAACAUCUUAUACAAAGAGGAAACCUGGCACAGAAGUGGACAUGCACUCGGAGGGAAAAUGCCAAGUGACAAUGAAGGCAGAGAUCAGGUGAUGCAUCUGCAAGCUGAGCAACAUCAGGAAUUGCCAAAAACCACCAGGAGCUGGAGAGGCCUGGGACAGAGCCUCCCACGGAGCCUCAAGGGAGCCAGCCCUGCCCACGCCUUGAUCUUUGACGUCCGACCUCAAGAACUAUGAAAGAACCCAUUUCUGUUGGUGAAGGCUCCCCGUCUGUGGUCCCCUGUCCUGGCAGCCCUAGGAACCUGACCUCUGGUCCCUCUGCAUCCCUGGCAUCACUCUGCCUCCCUCUCUUUUUCUCCAGUGAAUCCAACACACUCUCAGUGAGACAGCCAGGUGGCAAGGGGUUCUCGGAGAAACUCCAGCCGGCCUGCUCGCUGGGCAUGUACACUGGAGUGGAGCCACAGAAGUUCACGGUGUUUGCAGCAGGGAGGAGCCUGGCCACUCCUCUUCCUGGUUGGAACCUGGAAUUUAUUUUGUGAGGCGGGAAGCCUAUACUGGGGAGACUCUUGCUCUGCUGAGUCCCCAUUCCCCCUUUAUUUUCCUUUUUGCCCAAUAAAUCCUAUUAUUCUCAGUCUUCAAA